Molecule: ribosomal RNA, 402 nt
Filed under: uncultured bacterium
Lineage: Bacteria
Description: bacterial SSU rRNA
Rfam family: Bacterial small subunit ribosomal RNA
Source: RNAcentral
UCGGGAAUUUUGGGCAAUGGGCGAAAGCCUGACCCAGCAACGCCGCGUGAGGGAUGAAGUAGUUCGGUAUGUAAACCUCGAAAGAAUGGGAAGAAUAAAUGACGGUACCAUUUAUAAGCUCCGGCUAACUACGUGCCAGCAGCCGCGGUAAUACGUAGGGAGCAAGCGUUGUUCGGAUUUACUGGGCGUAAAGGGCGCGUAGGCGGCGCGGUAAGUCACUUGUGAAAUCUCUGAGCUUAACUCAGAACGGCCAAGUGAUACUGCUGUGCUAGAGUGCGGAAGAGGCAACCGGAAUUCUUGGUGUAGCGGUGAAAUGCGUAGAUAUCAAGAGGAACACCUGAGGCGAUGGCGGGUUGCUGGGCCGACACUGACGCUGAUGCGCGAAAGCCAGGGGAGCAAACG